This 253-nucleotide ribosomal RNA is filed under the name uncultured bacterium. RNAcentral's name for it is "partial 16S ribosomal RNA". It matches the Rfam family "Bacterial small subunit ribosomal RNA", at positions 524 to 776 of the family's 1533-position model. The record is from RNAcentral.
UACGUAGGGUGCAAGCGUUGUCCGGAAUUAUUGGGCGUAAAGAGCUCGUAGGCGGUCUGUCACGUCGGCUGUGAAAACCUGGGGCUCAACCCCGGGCCUGCAGCCGAUACGGGCAGACUAGAAUUCGGUAGGGGAGACUGGAAUUCCCUGUGUAGCGGUGAAAUGCGUAGAGAUGGGGGAGAACACUCGUGGCGAAGGCGGCCAGCUAGACCAGUUCUGACACUGAGGCGCGACAGCGUGGGGAGCAAACAGG